This 1184-nucleotide long non-coding RNA is filed under the name Triticum aestivum (bread wheat). RNAcentral's name for it is "long non-coding RNA (TAES_LNC018996)". Lineage: Eukaryota; Viridiplantae; Streptophyta; Magnoliopsida; Poales; Poaceae. The record is from RNAcentral.
AUGUGAUUUCUUUUGUGAUGCUUAUUUGCUCGUUUUUAUAGUUUUAUUUUAUUUACCUUCUCUUACAGCAAUCAAAUCGGAUGGAGAACAUCACACAACAGGUAAACAUUCUUGUAUACUGAUAUUGAAAAAUUACAUCUUUGUUUGAUUCAGAUAGUUUUUAGCAAGAGGAUGGAUAUACUGUGAUGUUAUUUCUGAUUAAUAGUUUUUUGGCAAAAUUUUAUGAUAAGCCUUUCUCCAGGACAUAAAGAAAAUGGUGGCACUUUGGGUUUUGAAGACGCCGCCUCGCGUAGGACUACGAACAUGGGACGCUCAGUCGAGUUUUUCUUAACUCGUCAGGAUUCUCAUGCUGCAAAUUUAGUAACGGGGCAAAAUUUUUGGUGUCCUGUUGUGUUUGCGGAUUGAUGAAAAUUUGGCGAGGGAGAUCAUAAACCAUCGCUCGCUGCAGCACAUCAAUUGUUGAAUUCGUUUGAAGGAGCUGUCAAUUGUUGAAUUCGCUUGAAGGAGGUGUGUUUGCUCUCUGUUCCCUUGAGUCAAUCACCAUGAUUUUACAUCGAGACGAUGUUUCUUCUUCAAAAGGGGAUGAUGAACAACAUGGGAACAAGGAGGAACUUUACCCGCCUGUUAUAGACUAAGCACUAAAAGCAUGCUUGCAUUCACUUUAGCUUGUUCAUUCUGUUAUAGGGCAGUGCUUUCGUUAUGCGUAUGAUGCUUUCAGUUUAUUGAAAGAUUUGUUCCAAGGAUAAAUUCUGAUCUUUUGAAACUAUGUUUUUUUAGUGAUAACCUUUAUAAGUUGGACUGUUUAUGGGCGCUGGAAGUCUUGUAAUAACCGUUGUUGUACAUACGUUUAUCAUCAUAAGAGAGAUAAUAUAUUCUUUUGAUCCUCACAAAUUUUUGCAGAUGGAGCUCGUUUGGCUGAAUUUGCUACUGAGCUGCCACAUUUUGAGGGCCUGCAAUUGAAGAAUACAACACUUGAGAUAACAAUUGAAGAAUACUAGAGUAAUAAUAACUACUGCAAGAUUGAUGUAUUUUCUUUUUGUUGGAGAUUUUCUGCAUCUUUUAUGGACGGUAACAUUUGAGAUAACAAUUUGAUGUGCUAACCAUCAAGAUCAACUUUGACAUGUUUGGUCUCUAAAAGUUACUAUUGACCAUCAUUAGUACAUCCUAUAAGGUAUAGUAAGUAC